GGGUGGAGGGCAGGAGGACACCCGGGGCCUGACCUGAGCACAGCAGGACCUUGCUAUCCCACCAGACCGGAGUACACAGGCCGCAUGUGAAGGAAGAGGCUGAUCUUUGGGCUUUCCAAAAGCUGCAGUUCUGGGACCUGGGGGAAAAUUGGAGUGCCUGGCUUCCAAGCAGGCAUAAUGGCUCUCUGCAAGACCAAGUAUGUACAAACAUCCCUUGAGCAGCCCUGCAAGCCUGAUGCUUCACCAAUGGGCGCCCGGGCUUCAUAACUGCUGAAAAUCAUGGUGUUGAUUAUCAGCACAGUGACGGUGCCAGGUGCUGCGGAAUCAGCUUGGAUUUUGAUUUUGCUUCCUUUAUGUGAAGCCAGGAGGGAGCUUAGCGCCCAGCACUCCAUGCCCCACCCCCACCACAUCGCAGCCUCCCACAGUCACCAGGAAAAGCGGGGGCUUUCAGCGGCAGCCAGAAGGAAUUCAGAAACAUCACAUUUCAUUUCGGGAAGAAUUGGAUCAGCACCAGUUUGGUGUUGAGGCCAUGAGAUUGUGGCAUUUUUAUCCCAAAUUUAUCCUCCCUUGGUCUCUCUCAGUGUGUGUGUCUGUAGGAAGUCAUCGUGUAGCAUUAUGCUAUGAAGAAAGCAUCCCACACUUAUUCAGUUGCAUCGUCCCACAUUCUGGAUCGGGAGACACAGACUGAAGUCAACCUGCAGCUGCCUAAUUUUGCAGGGAAGCAGCUAUCCUGAUGUUUGCAGGUUGGAGGCCUCCAAGUGACACACAUCAGGAAGAAAUGGGCUCUCCAAUCCCAGAUGAGCUGAAACACAAACGUUUUCUGAGGGAACAGUCAGGAGUCCUAUCUUUCUGAGCCCUUUUCGAUGCAAGCAACCAUUGAUGAAGAAGCAUUUAUGCUUGAUACCUAUUGCAGGUGUUCUUCGGUGUGGAGAUGUCAAUGAAAGAUUCAAAAGUGGUUCAAUUA
Long non-coding RNA from Gorilla gorilla gorilla (western lowland gorilla), 964 nucleotides. RefSeq lists it as uncharacterized. The record is from RefSeq and is a predicted model, not a curated record. NCBI's taxonomy places the organism in Eukaryota, Metazoa, Chordata, Mammalia, Primates, Hominidae. The transcript is spliced from 3 exons.